AAAAAGACAAAUCCUGAAUUGCCGUGUCUAACAUUUAACUAUCCGUCUUAUAUGAAAUUCUUUUAUAAUUAGUAUUUUCAUUAUUGUUAGAUGAUAAAACAUGAUUAAUAUUUUAUACGUACUUGUUUUUUUAAUAUUUUUUAUAAAUUUUUUUGAAUAAGAUGAACGAUCAAAUGUUAGAUACGAAAUUUUUUUUUUGAACGGAGG
This is a non-coding RNA of Oryza glaberrima (African rice), 207 nucleotides long. Lineage: Eukaryota; Viridiplantae; Streptophyta; Magnoliopsida; Poales; Poaceae. The record is from Rfam.